This 1493-nucleotide ribosomal RNA is filed under the name metagenome. Its description in RNAcentral is "bacterial SSU rRNA". It matches the Rfam family "Bacterial small subunit ribosomal RNA". The record is from RNAcentral.
AGAGUUUGAUCCUGGCUCAGGAUGAACGCUAGCUGGAGGCUUAAUACAUGCAAGUCGAGCGGGAUUGUGGCAGUAAUGCUACAUGAGAGCGGCGAACGGGUGAGUAACGCGUACACGACCUACCUUUGACUGGGGGAUAGCCCUGGGAAACUGGGAUUAAUACCGCAUAUAAUUCUGAUGAGUAAAGAAAUUGGAAUGAAAGUUCAGGCGGUCAGAGAUGGGUGUGCGUCUGAUUAGCUAGUUGGUAAGGUAACGGCUUACCAAGGCGAUGAUCAGUAGGGGGCGUGAGAGCGUGGACCCCCACACGGGUACUGAGACACGGACCCGACUCCUACGGGAGGCAGCAGUAGGGAAUAUUGGACAAUGGCCGCAAGGCUGAUCCAGCCAUCCAGCGUGCAGGAAGAAGGCCCUAUGGGUUGUAAACUGCUUUUAUCAGGGAAGAAACCUGUGGAUUUACUCCGCAGCUGACGGUACCUGAAGAAUAAGCACCGGCUAACUCCGUGCCAGCAGCCGCGGUAAUACGGAGGGUGCGAGCGUUAUCCGGAAUUACUGGGUUUAAAGGGUGCGUAGGCGGCUUAGUAAGUCAGGAGUGAAAGUUUGCGGCUCAACCGUAAAAUUGCUUUUGAUACUGCUAGGCUGGAAUUAGGAUGAGGUCAGCGGAAUGUGGCAUGUAGCGGUGAAAUGCAUAGAUAUGCCAUAGAACACCAAUUGCGAAGGCAGCUGGCUAGACCUGGAUUGACGCUGAGGCACGAAAGCGUGGGGAGCAAAAGGGAUUAGAUACCCCUGUAGUCCACGCCCUAAACGGUGCACACUAGGUCUUGGCGGAUUCGACCCCACCAGGGCCCAAGCUAACGCGUUAAGUGUGCCGCCUGAGGACUACGGCCGCAAGGCUAAAACUCAAAGGAAUUGACGGGGGCCCGCACAAGCGGUGGAGUAUGUGGCUCAAUUCGAUCCACGCGAAGAACCUUACCAGGCCUUGACAUGCACUAGACAGACGCUGAAAGGCGUUCUCCCUUCGGGGCUGGUGCACAGGUGCUGCAUGGCUGUCGUCAGCUCGUGUCGUGAGAUGUUGCGUUAAGUCGCGCAACGAGCGCAACCCCUGUCCUUAGUUGCCAUCAUUAAGUUGGGCACUCUAGGGAGACAAACCCUCUUUGAGGGUGGGAAGGUGGGGAUGACGUCAAGUCAGGAUGGCCCUUACGGCCUGGGCUGCACACGUACUACAAUGCCCGGUACAGAGGGAAGCAAUACCGCGAGGUGGAGCAAAUCCUCAAAACCGGGCCCAGUUCAGAUUGUAGUCUGCAACUCGACUACAUGAAGUUGGAAUCGCUAGUAAUGGCGCAUCAGCUACGGCGCCGUGAAUACGUUCCCGGGCCUUGUACACACCGCCCGUCACGUCAUGAAAGCCGGUUUCGCCCGAAGUGCGUUUGCCAACCAGCAAUGGAGGCGGCGCCCUAAGGUGAGGCUGGUGAUUGGGACGAAGUCGGAACAAGGUA